AGGGUGUAAACGCUGCAGACUUGGUGUUGGGGGCCCUUUGGGGGCAUUCAGUGCCGGAGAGAAGUUGUUAAGUCUGCUACCAGGGGAGUACGUCCGCAAGGAUGAAACUUAAAGGAAUUGGCGGGGGAGCACCGCAACGGGAGGAGCGUGCGGUUUAAUUGGAUUCAACACCGUAAAACUCACCAGGGAAGACUGUUACAUGAAGGCCGAGAUGAAGACUCUGCUAGAUUUUUCAGAGAGGAGGUGCAUGGCGUCAGUGACU
RNAcentral lists this ribosomal RNA (262 nucleotides) under uncultured archaeon. Its description in RNAcentral is "partial 16S ribosomal RNA". It matches the Rfam family "Archaeal small subunit ribosomal RNA", at positions 748 to 1008 of the family's 1478-position model. The record is from RNAcentral.